RNAcentral lists this ribosomal RNA (207 nucleotides) under uncultured bacterium. RNAcentral describes it as "partial 16S ribosomal RNA". It matches the Rfam family "Bacterial small subunit ribosomal RNA", at positions 568 to 774 of the family's 1533-position model. The record is from RNAcentral.
CGCGUAGGCGGUCAGGUAAGUCAGAUGUGAAAUCCCCGGGCUCAACCCGGGAACUGCAUCUGAUACUGCUUGACUAGAGUUUGGUAGAGGCAAGUGGAAUUCCGGGUGUAGCGGUGGAAUGCGUAGAUAUCCGGAGGAACACCAGUGGCGAAGGCGACUUGCUGGACUAAAACUGACGCUGAGGUGCGAAAGCGUGGGGAGCAAACA